Ictalurus punctatus (channel catfish) is the source of this 3365-nucleotide long non-coding RNA. The record is from Ensembl. NCBI's taxonomy places the organism in Eukaryota, Metazoa, Chordata, Actinopteri, Siluriformes, Ictaluridae.
UGAUGUUCGCAGGUGGUAUGCGGCAUGUCGUAAAUGCCAGCCAGCCCAAAAACACCACUGUACCAUCUUCCAUUUGAAAGGAUGGACCUCGUCAGACACCCACACAGAGCGACCGAGAGAGAGAGAGAGAGAGAGACACACACAAAGAGUGAGACAGAGAGAGAGAGACACAGAAAGAGAGAGACGCACACAAAGAGCGAGACAGAGAGAGAGAGGCAUACACAAAGAGAAACAGAGAGAGACACAGCGAGAGACACACACACAAAGAGUCAGACUGAGUGAGAGACACAGAGAGAGACACACACACAAACACAAAGAGUGAGACUGCGAGAGAGAGAGACACACACACAAACACAAAGAGUGAGACUGCGAGAGAGAGAGGCACACACACAAAGAGUGAGACUGAGAGAGAGACAGAGAGAGACACACACACAAACACAAAGAGUGAGACCGCGAGAGAGAGGCACACACACAAAGAGUGAGACUGAGAGAGAGACACAGAGAGAGACACACACACACAAACACAAAGAGUGAGACCGCGAGAGAGAGGCACACACACAAAGAGUGAGACUGAGAGAGAGACACAGAGAGAGACACACACACACACACAUAGAGAGAGACUGAGACAGAGAGAGAGAGACAGAGAGUUAAUCACGAAUGGUUCUUAUAAUCUCUUGUCUAUAUGAAGCCGUUAUCGAGUCUUCUCCGGACGCAGUGCGGAGCGCUGCGUGUGUAAACUCGUGUCCAACCGCAGCUGUUGGUCUCGUAACUCAUUAGCGCAGCUUCUAAACGAGCUGUUAUACAUGGUCUCAGAGUUCUGAGCACGCGCCUGUGUUGGAGAAGGUAAUUAACUGCGUUUUACCCGUGCGUGUAAGACUAGCACCAGGAGCGACAGUGACGAUGUGAUGAUCUCUGGCUCUGUGAGGAGGCGUGAUGACUCAGCUGUUCACGCUCUGUGUGUGUGUGUGUGCUGUGAGUGCUGUGUGAAGGUUAACCACGAAGACCAAGCGCUGCAGGGAUUCUGAAUCCGCCGCAGGUUUCCCAGGUUUCCGAUGCGGCUGCUGAACGCGGCAGGGGGUCGUGCUGGAGUUUCUGCUGGACUCGGAGCGGUGUCAGGGUUACCAAGCGCUCUCUUUCUUCACAGUCUGCGUCGUUUCUUUGUUUUUGUCUUGUUUUCUCUUCGGCUCUGACCUAGUAAAGAUUUGUGUGUGUAAAAAAAAAAAAAAAAAAAAAAAAACGUGAAAAUUUCAUAAUAAAAGUACAUGUUUAUUUAGUAACAGGGUUUCUGAACAAUUGCAGGUGCAAAGUUUCCGGGGGUAACUGUUAGUCUGUAGUCUGUAGUUGUUGUUUAUUUGUUAUAUAUAUAUAUAUAUAUGUAUAUAUAUGUAUUGUUAAUCAGUCCCUCCAGGAUGUAGCGAUUUUUGCGAUCGCCGAAAUGAACACAAAAUCAAGCGAAUGCAACAACACGCUUGCGAUUUCUCAAAAUUUCCGUGGACUUUCCGCAGAUUCGGGCCAAAAUGCGCCAUGUGACGUCAUCACAACACGCGUUCAUCCCAAGCCCUUUUCGGAAUACAGCUAAACAAGAAUACAGCUAAAAGCUCUCGUUUACCGACGAGCAUCGAGGGGUUUUAAAUUAAAUUUUAAAUUUUAAAAUUUUUCUCCGAAAAGCGCAACAAAAUCGGACGUUUCUUUCGGCCGCAAGGAUCAGAGAGGAACAAUUUCCUAGGACUGCUCCUAAUAGGAAGCACCGUGUUUUUGCAAACAUUAAAUGUAACUGCAAACGGAUAAAAAGUCGUACUCGUUGACAAAUGGCGGCGGUGUUAUAAGACGAAUAACACACUACACGACAUGCUUUUAUUGGAAAUAAUCAACUUCAGGGUGUUAACAAUGACACAACUUCAUCCGUGAUUAUUUUCCUAUAACAGCACAACCCCAAGCACGUUGCUCGUAACUGAGGUGAAUUCCAAUCGUACUGUAAGGAGAUAUUGAUAAAUGUGUGUGUGUGUGUGGGUGUGUGGAGUGUUAGGUUUUUGUCGCACAAGUUUUUAUCGGUAUUUUUGAUUCAGAUGAAUUUCCUCGACGAAGCCGUAGUGCUGACCGAAAGCAUUCGGGUUACGCGCUGCUGUUGUCAGCGGCGUGAAAGAGAUUAAUCACGGCGCUUUGUUUCUUUUCGUUAUCCCAGUCAGCGAACCGACUCGCGCUGACGUGGCCGUGUCUGAUUGCUCGGACGCGUCCAGAGGACCUGACGCUGCGUUUUUGGGCUUCCGUUAUUACGCGGUCGCAGAAGUAAGACGACUAAAAGAAUGGAGCGCUUCCUGUCGAACGCAUUUGUAAAUAUUAUAUUUGACAACAUUUGACACCAAUAAAAUACAAAUGUAAAAAAAAAAAAAAAAAAAAACAUAAUUAUUUCUCUCUCAUUCUUUGUUCUGUCUUUGAACCAGAAAGGAAAAUAUAUAUAUAAAUAAAUAAAUAGUAUACACACACACACACACACACACACACAUCCACCUGUCUUUCUCUUUUCCUUCCUCGCUAUUUCACACCUUUGGAAGUGCAGGGAUUAUUUAUAGUAUCCUUUAAAUGCGCCACCUGAAGUCAACGAGAGUGAAAUUCCCAAUCCGGUACUACAGUGAGAAUGAAAGAGUGCACACGUAGCUGUCCUGCUAGAACACACCACACUAAAGGCUUUAACGGCGUAUUUACACCCUGUGUUCAAUCUCACGAUCUCAUUACGUCCUCCGGUGUUUCCGAUCUCAGGACAUUUUUAUCGGUACCCCCACACACACACACACACACAAGGCGUGGCCGAACACGAAUACAGAGCGAUCCACGCUCGUUAUAUCGUGUUUCCUGGAGACAAUGUGCAAAUGUAUGAGACUUUUCAUUGACGAUUAUUUCGAUACUUUGUAAAUCCCUCUCACAAACGCAUGACAGCUUGUUUAUGGUGAUUAGGCGUCUAUGCUUAGCGUUGUUAUGACUUCGUUCACAUUAGAAGUUUUACGUAUACACACACACACACACACACACACACACACACACACACAAAAAAAAAAAAGCCUCCUUCAUAUGUUCUUUGUGUUCGGGUAUACUUUUCGGGAAUUUAGGCAGGACCCAACAGCAGAGGGUUUUCCUGACAGAUCCAGUGGACUGUUAUUUUGGAUGAGUGUGUGUAUUAAAGGGGUAAGUGUGUGUCCCUACACUGUGUCCCUACACUGUGUCCCUACAUUGUGUCCCUACACUGUGUCCCUUCACUGUGUCCCUACACUGUGUCCCUUCACUGUGUCCCUUCACUGUGUCCCUACACUGUGUCCCUUCACUGUGUCCCUUCACUGUGUCCCUUCACUGUGUCCCUACACUGUGUCCCU